AUUGAACGCUGGCGGCAGGCCUAACACAUGCAAGUCGAGCGGAUGACGGGAGCUUGCUCCUUGAUUCAGCGGCGGACGGGUGAGUAAUGCCUAGGAAUCUGCCUGGUAGUGGGGGACAACGUUUCGAAAGGAACGCUAAUACCGCAUACGUCCUACGGGAGAAAGCAGGGGACCUUCGGGCCUUGCGCUAUCAGAUGAGCUUAGGUCGGAUUAGCUAGUUGGUGGGGUAAUGGCUCACCAAGGCGACGAUCCGUAACUGGUCUGAGAGGAUGAUCAGUCACACUGGAACAGAGACACGGUCCAGACUCCUACGGGAGGCAGCAGUGGGGAAUAUUGGACAAUGGGCGAAAGCCUGAUCCAGCCAUGCCGCGUGUGUGAAGAAGGUCUUCGGAUUGUAAAGCACUUUAAGUUGGGAGGAAGGGCAGUAAGUUAAUACCUUGCUGUUUUGACGUUACCGACAGAAUAAGCACCGGCUAACUCUGUGCCAGCAGCCGCCGUAA
Molecule: ribosomal RNA, 500 nt
Filed under: uncultured bacterium
Lineage: Bacteria
Description: partial 16S ribosomal RNA
Rfam family: Bacterial small subunit ribosomal RNA
Source: RNAcentral